This 482-nucleotide ribosomal RNA is filed under the name uncultured bacterium. RNAcentral's name for it is "partial 16S ribosomal RNA". It matches the Rfam family "Bacterial small subunit ribosomal RNA", at positions 30 to 507 of the family's 1533-position model. The record is from RNAcentral.
AUUGAACGCUGGCGGCAUGCUUUACACAUGCAAGUCGAACGGUAACAGGCCGCAAGGUGCUGGCGAGUGGCGAACGGGUGAGUAAUGCAUCGGAACGUGCCCAGUCGUGGGGGAUAACUACUCGAAAGAGUAGCUAAUACCGCAUACGAUCUAUGGAUGAAAGCGGGGGACCGUAAGGCCUCGCGCGAUUGGAGCGGCCGAUGUCAGAUUAGGUAGUUGGUGGGGUAAAGGCUCACCAAGCCAACGAUCUGUAGCUGGUCUGAGGGGACAACCAGCCACACUGGGACUGAGACACGGCCCAGACUCCUACGGGAGGCAGCAGAGGGGAAUUUUGGACAAUGGGCGCAAGCCUGAUCCAGCAAUGCCGCGUGCAGGAAGAAGGCCUUCGGGUUGUAAACUGCUUUUGUACGGAACGAAACGGCUCUGGUUAAUACCCGGGGCUAAUGACGGUACCGUAAGAAUAAGCACCGGCUAACUACGUG